AAUAGAUACCCCGGUAGUCCAUGCCGUAAACGUUGGGAACUAGAUGUGGGGACCAUUCCACGGUCUCCGUGUCGCAGCUAACGCAUUAAGUUCCCCGCCUGGGGAGUACGGCCGCAAGGCUAAAACUCAAAGGAAUUGACGGGGGCCCGCACAAGCGGCGGAGCAUGCGGAUUAAUUCGAUGCAACGCGAAGAACCUUACCAAGGCUUGACAUACACGAGAACGCUGCAGAAAUGCAGAACUCUUUGGACACUCGUGAACAGGUGGUGCAUGGUUGUCGUCAGCUCGUGUCGUGAGAUGUUGGGUUAAGUCCCGCAACGAGCGCAACCCUCGUCUUAUGUUGCCAGCACGUAAUGGUGAGGACUCAUAAGAGACUGCCGGGGUCAACGUCGGAGGAAGGUGGGGAUGAGGUCAAAUCAUCAUGCCCCUUAUGUCUUGGGCUUCGCGCAUGCUACAAUGGCCGGUACAAAGGGCAGCAAUACCGCGAGGUGGAGCAAAUCCCAAAAAGCCGGUCUCAGUUCGGAUUGGA
RNAcentral lists this ribosomal RNA (528 nucleotides) under uncultured bacterium. Its description in RNAcentral is "bacterial SSU rRNA". It matches the Rfam family "Bacterial small subunit ribosomal RNA", at positions 777 to 1302 of the family's 1533-position model. The record is from RNAcentral.